AUACGAGGGGUGCAAGCGUUAAUCGGAAUUACUGGGCGUAAAGCGUUCGUAGGCGGUUUGUUAAGCAAGAUGUGAAAGCCCUGGGCUCAACCUGGGAACUGCAUUUUGAACUGGCAAGCUAGAAUACUCUAGAGGGUGGUGGAAUUUCCAGUGUAGCGGUGAAAUGCGUAGAGAUUGGAAGGAACAUCAGUGGCGAAGGCGGCCACCUGGACAGAUAUUGACGCUGAGGAACGAAAGCGUGGGGAGCGAACAGAAUUAGAUACCCUAGUAGUCC
RNAcentral lists this ribosomal RNA (274 nucleotides) under uncultured bacterium. RNAcentral describes it as "partial 16S ribosomal RNA". It matches the Rfam family "Bacterial small subunit ribosomal RNA", at positions 523 to 796 of the family's 1533-position model. The record is from RNAcentral.